This 311-nucleotide ribosomal RNA is filed under the name Rhipicephalus sanguineus (brown dog tick). Its description in RNAcentral is "partial large subunit ribosomal RNA". The record is from RNAcentral. Lineage: Eukaryota; Metazoa; Arthropoda; Arachnida; Ixodida; Ixodidae.
UGCUCAAUGAUUUUUUAAAUUGCUGUAGUAUUUUGACUAUACAAAGGUAUUGAAAUAAGAUUUUAAUUGAAUGCUAAGAGAAUGGAAGUCCAGAAAAAAACUUUUUUUAAAUUAAAAAUUGAAGUUUUUUUAAUUUGUGCAGAAACAAUUAUUUAUAUUAAAGACAAGAAGACCCUAUGAAUUUAUUAAAUUUUUAUUUAAUAUGUAAUUACUAUUAGAAAAAUUUUGGCUGGGGCGGCUAGAAAAUAUUAUGAACUUUUUAAAAAUAAAAUGAUCCUUUAUUAAUGAUUUUAUGUUAAAUACUCUAGGGA